UGGCUCAGUGGUUAAGAGCACUGGCUGUUCUUCCAGAGGACCUGGGUUUGAUUCCCAG
RNAcentral lists this transfer RNA (58 nucleotides) under Neotoma lepida (desert woodrat). It matches the Rfam family "tRNA", at positions 8 to 63 of the family's 71-position model. Rfam says of the family: Transfer RNA (tRNA) molecules are approximately 80 nucleotides in length. Their secondary structure includes four short double-helical elements and three loops (D, anti-codon, and T loops). Further hydrogen bonds mediate the characteristic L-shaped molecular structure. tRNAs have two regions of fundamental functional importance: the anti-codon, which is responsible for specific mRNA codon recognition, and the 3' end, to which the tRNAs corresponding amino acid is attached (by aminoacyl-tRNA synthetases). tRNAs cope with the degeneracy of the genetic code in two manners: having more than one tRNA (with a specific anti-codon) for a particular amino acid; and 'wobble' base-pairing, i.e. permitting non-standard base-pairing at the 3rd anti-codon position. Lineage: Eukaryota; Metazoa; Chordata; Mammalia; Rodentia; Cricetidae. The record is from Rfam by way of RNAcentral.